GUACAUUUGGGGAAGGGCCGGAGCUCAGAGGCAGAGCACAGCUUUCCAUGCAGAAGGGCCCGGGUUCAAGCCUCAGCAUCUUCAGGGCUGACUCAGAAUGUUCCUAUUUGCCCAGGCCUUUGUGGGAUGCCAACUUACUCAGCAUAACUUGGAUUGUUGUUGUUAUGUGCCUUCAAGUCGACUGCCACUUAUGGUGACCCUAUGAAUCAGCGACCUCCAAGAGCAUCUGUCAUGAACCACCCAGUUCAGAUCUUGUAAACUCAGAACCCGUGGACAUCCAGUGAAGCUGAAUGCUGGAAGAUUCAGGACAGGCCAAAGAAAGGACUUCUUCAUGCAGCACAUAGUUAAACGAUCGCAUUCGCUCCCGCAAGAGGCAGUGAUCACCACCAGCUUCGAUGGCUUUAAAAGAUUAGACAAAUCCAUGGAGGAUAAGGCCAUCAGUGGCUACUGGCCAUGAUGGCUGUGCUGUGCCACCAUAGUCAGAGGCAGUAUGCUUCCAAAUACCAGUUAUUGGAAACCGCAGGUCAGGAGAGUGCAAUUGUGCUCAGGCCUGCUUCUGGGUUCAUCUGCUUGGCCACUGUGAGAACAGGAUGCUGGACUAGAUGGGCCACUGGCCUGAGCCAGCAGGGCUCUUCUUAUGAUUAAAGAUUGUUUUGAAGUGUAUUUAUGAUUGUUUUUAAAAAAUCUGCUCCCAUUUGUAUAAAACCCAUUCCAGAAUCAGCAACAAUGA
Molecule: long non-coding RNA, 730 nt
Organism: Rhineura floridana
Lineage: Eukaryota; Metazoa; Chordata; Lepidosauria; Squamata; Rhineuridae
Exons: 3
Source: RefSeq, a predicted model, not a curated record